This 69-nucleotide transfer RNA is filed under the name Trioza erytreae. RNAcentral describes it as "tRNA-Lys". Lineage: Eukaryota; Metazoa; Arthropoda; Insecta; Hemiptera; Triozidae. The record is from RNAcentral.
AUUUAGUGACUGAAAAGCAAGUAAUGGUCUCUUAAAUCAAUUAAUGGUAUAGCAAUUACCCUAAAUAAA